Capsicum annuum is the source of this 2182-nucleotide RNA transcript. It is a transcript of the gene named subtilisin-like protease SBT3.6, with no coding region annotated. The transcript has 7 exons. The record is from RefSeq and is a predicted model, not a curated record. Lineage: Eukaryota; Viridiplantae; Streptophyta; Magnoliopsida; Solanales; Solanaceae.
UAUUUCUCUGUAAUAAACUCGUAGUUAGAUGUUUGUUCUUUUUGGUAUACUUACAGUCAAUAGUGAAUAUAGUUAUUCAAAAAAAUUGUAUAUGAAUAUGGAAUUUAAAAAUGGGAUAGCACUCUUGGCAGUGCAAUUCUGAUAGAUGAUCACCUUCUCUGUGUCGCCUUGCUCAAGUCCCUGCACCCAGAUUGGUCCCCAGCUGCUAUCAAGUCUGCAAUUAUGACUACAGUGGGGUUAAAAGAUCCUCAUUCUGGCUUACCAAUUAUCGCUGAGGGAAUGCCAUUUUGGGUUGCUGAUCCAUUUGAUUUCGGUAGUGGACUUGUGAAUGCACAUGCUGCAAAUAAUUCGGGCCUCAUCUAUGAUAUGGGAACCUUUGACUACAUUCUUUAUUUGCUCUCGAUGGGCUACAAGAGUAGCCACAUCAGCAACAUGAUUGACGAAGGAGCUGCAUCUUUCCCAAUCAAGAGGCCUUCGAUUCUUGACGUCAAUCUUUCUUCUUUAAUCGUACCAAGUCUCAAAGAUACUGUCAAUGUUAGAAGAACCGUCACCAACAUUGGACCAGAGAACUCCAAAUAUGAAGCCAUCAUUGAGCCUCCACCAGGCAUUACCAUAAAAGUAAAGCCUGACACUUUGAUAUUCAACUCCGACACCGAGCAAAUCUCUUUCACUCUCACCAUUUCAGCCACUCACGAAUACAACACAACGUUUGAGUUCGGGAGCCUUACUUAGACUGACGGGGUGCACCAAGCUUUAAUACCAUGGCGCUGAAGCAACAUUUUGGAAAAAAAACUUUUGGAACUUGAAGAGGAAAGAAGAGCGGUGCAGCAAGUGCGAGAUAGAUUAUUAGCGAAGGUUGAAAACCGUGCAGCCAAUACCGAUGGACAAGCAAUAAAAUUGCAAUACACACAUUCCCCGAAACUAAAGUCCCUUGAUGCACAGGAAUUUGCUGAGGCAUAUAAGUCGUUCCAUGUUGGAGAGAAACUCGCCAAUGAGCUUGCAACUCCAUGUGACAAGAGCAAAAGCCACCCCGCUGCUUUGUCUACUAAGAAGAAUUGUAUAGGAAUGAAACAAAUGUUUAAGGUCUGCGCUGAAUGAGAAUUCCUACUAAUGAAGAGGAGUGCAUUUGUAUACAUAUUAAAGAUGUUUCAGAUUGUUCAAACAGUUCUUCCUUCUCGUACUAGUACACCAGAUAGCAUCGGGAUUGUACAGAUUCAUUGGAGAUGGGAGUCGCUAGCCUACAAUUUGGACCAUUUGCACAGGUUUUACAAUUUGUAUUUUCUGGAUUUAUACUCUCUAGAGGUAUACUUUAAGAUGUUUGCACAAAUUCAUUUUCUUGUUCAAUCAGACAUACGCUUAUUUACUAUUGUACAAGUUGCGACAGAGGAUGUGAAGAAAUGGUGGAUUUGGGGUUAUUUGAUCUCACCAUUGAUGCAUUCUGAGAAUUCAAUUCUUGUGAAUGAAUUUCAUGGGAAGAAGUGAAAACUUGUAAUCUUUUUAUCCCAAACCACAAGCAAAUAGCUAAUUUUCUCAUAUAUAUCAUAUCCACUUUUAAUUAAAACAGUUCACGCCAAAUGGAAAUGAGACACUAAUUGGACAUUCAGUAGUAAGAGCUCGCAGAUUCUUUCCAGAUGCAUAUUGGUAUUGGAUAGGUGUUGUGGAACUUAUUGGAUUCAUAAUAAUCUUCAACAUCUGCUACAAUAUUGGACUCGUUUACCUGAAUCGUAAUAAAAUACCAAAGUUCCACUGAAGAUAGAUUGGUACUUCUAAAGGGUGUGAGUGGAGAUUUCCGGCCAGUUGUUCUCAUAACUUAGAUAGGUGUUAUUGGUGCUGGUAAAACAACAUUGAUGGAUGUCUUGACUGGAAGGAAAACAGGAGCAUAUGUUAAUGGUGAUAUCAAGAUUUCUGGAUAUCCUAAGAAGCAAGAAACCUUCGUGGAGAAAAUGAAGAUGCGAAUGAGGAGAACAUUGAAGAACGUCAAGAUUUUAGAUGGUUUUUUUAACUUGUUCUAGGACAUUUUUGAAAUCGACAACACAAUGAAACUUAUGUUGUAAUUUACUAUUUUCUAGUUGUUAUAUGGAUAUUAAUUACUAUGGCUAGCUUAUAUUUUGGAUAUACAAUUUUAAUGAUGAACAUUGAUAACUAUUUUGUAAUUCUUAAUAUAAACUUUUAUCAUGUUUGA